Molecule: small RNA, 708 nt
Filed under: Pan troglodytes (chimpanzee)
Lineage: Eukaryota; Metazoa; Chordata; Mammalia; Primates; Hominidae
Description: retained intron
Source: RNAcentral
GAGAUAUUCAGAGGUCUUUUAGGAUGCGCUAAAGGGUCGUGAGGGCUCUCUUAAAAUUUUCUUCACAAGCGGUUAUCCAGUCGUGCCCCGCGGCCCUGCCGCUGGCCCCGGGGAUCUGAGUCGUACCCUCUUGUUUUUCUCUGAGUCAGUCUUAAGGUGAAAUGAAGUGUGGCCCAGUGGCUCCUCACUGUCGCUUCCCUAGUUUUCUGCCUCCUUUUAGAAAAUUGAAUUGAAAAGACAGGAUGAAGUGGACACAGCAUGUGAAGACAAUUCUUUCAAGAAGUUUGGCUGUCAAGGAAAAUAGAGAAUGUGAGUAGCCAAAGCAGAAUGACAGUGAAAGAAAGAAAUUGGGAGCCAGACAAUACGGCCCGACAGUUUACGCCUGUACGGAUGUCCCACCUCUUUCACAAAAGAUUGAGUAUGCUUGGGGAAAAAAAAUACACACUAUAAUAGGAGAAAAUGAUGAAGAGAAACUGAGGUAAAGGUAAUUGGAAAAUAAAAUAAAGCCAGGGGUAUAUUAAUACCCCAAAACUUCAUACCAAAAGGUCCGUGUAUUUACUAGAGGGGUGCCACAAAUUGGGCUCUGAGGUUCCUAGCAACUAAACCAAAGGGAAAAUAUAAGUUUAACAUGAUCCGUAUGAGGGAGGAGGCCUAAUGGCAUAUUAUAGAAUCCUGUUACACAUUAGCUGUAUGAAAUUGAUUGGGUAA